Danio aesculapii is the source of this 633-nucleotide long non-coding RNA. RefSeq lists it as uncharacterized. The transcript is spliced from 3 exons. NCBI's taxonomy places the organism in Eukaryota, Metazoa, Chordata, Actinopteri, Cypriniformes, Danionidae. The record is from RefSeq and is a predicted model, not a curated record.
AGAUAAACAUUCACAAGAUGCAUUGAUAUUCAAGGGAAGGAAACAUCAUUCGACAAAGUCUGUAACAAAAGCAGUGAACACACACCAUCUCAAAACAUCACACAAACCCAAGAGUUGUGAAAAGCUCUGCUAAAAGCCCGAGGCAGUGAAAGCGGAAUCUUGCUGAGCUGUGUUGACCCUUCCUUCAAUGUGCUCAAUGGGGACCAAAAAGCUAAAGGUCAGUCUUGCAGGUCAUUGCGGACAAAUUUAGUUGGGAAACGCGGCACCUAACCACAUCUGACAACACCACCGGGUGACAUCAAGCUGCAAACCUGGCAGAUGGCAGACGCUUGUUUAUACCGGGGACUCUGGGAAACCAAAUGAUGGAUACUGAAGCUCUUUGAAGCAAAAAUGAGGUAUCUGAUAAACUCUGUAAAGUGUUUACGCACCACAAGUUUCAGAGAGCGCAGUGCAUGAAUGUGACCCUUUAAUCAAUAUGACUCUCUCCAAACAUCGCUCCAGAUUUGCUUGCCUACCCUGUGUGUACCGUCCAUCCCAGUGGCUUUUUCAGAUUAAAAAAUGAGGCAGAAAUGCAAUAAAUCAUUUUAAACGGGUGUUCAGAAAAUAGCUUCGAAAUGUAAAUAAAUCUCUCAA